GCCAGUAGCCAUAUCACCCUGCAACUCACAACUGGCAACCCACUGAAGCUAAGCAGGUGUGAGCCUGGUCAGUACCUUCAUGGGAGACCUCCUGGGAAAAACUAAAGUUGCUGUUGCAA
Molecule: ribosomal RNA, 119 nt
Organism: Lepisosteus oculatus (spotted gar)
Lineage: Eukaryota; Metazoa; Chordata; Actinopteri; Semionotiformes; Lepisosteidae
Source: Ensembl